Molecule: ribosomal RNA, 1341 nt
Filed under: Triticum aestivum (bread wheat)
Lineage: Eukaryota; Viridiplantae; Streptophyta; Magnoliopsida; Poales; Poaceae
Description: partial small subunit ribosomal RNA
Source: RNAcentral
AUGGUCCGCGAGCUCCUGGCCGUGCUGGUGCGCGCGGCGCUGCAGUGGGCGCUGGCGUCGCUGCUCCUCGCCAACGGCGCCGCCUUCUGCCUCAUCGCCGCCGCGGCCUCCUCGCUCCGCCUCGGCCCGCCCUGCCUCCUCUGCGCUCGCGUCCACCGCCUGCUCUGCCCCUCCUCCUCUGGCGACGCCGGUUGCAGCCAAGAAGAAGACGACGCCUUCCGCCGCCUGCUCUGCGACGCUCACGUCGCCGCCAUCGCGCGCUUAGGCGCACAAGAAACAGAGCAGCCGGCGUGCUCUCCUUCUGAUCACGUCCACACAGGGACGAAAUAUGACUCAGAUAAAUCUCGAGGUCUAGAGUCUCAACGCGUCGUCUCCAUCGGUAGCGAGAUCUGCGAGCAAGAUCGUGGCGCCGACGACGACCAACCCCGUGCCACCAACCUCAGCGUCCUCCGAAGAACGUCGAGCACCGACAGCGGCGAAGGCCCGUACGUAUCCCUAUUCGAGCUCGCUCCCCUCGUCGCCCUCCCGGAAGACACCCUGCCGGAUUACGAUGCCAAAGAAGCACCUCACGGCCACGGGCACGGGACGGCGAAGACGGAGCACGACGAGAGCGCGUCCCCGAGCGCCGCGGCAGGCGGCGAGCAGGCGCUGACCGUGAGCGGCCUCGUGGCCGCCCUCCGCGCCCAGCGGAGGGAGCUGGAGGCGGCGCGCGCGGAGCUGCACGGCGAGCGGCGCGCCAGGGCGGAGCUGGAGGAGCAGGGCGAGCUGGACCGGGAGGCGGCGCGGGUGGCCAUGCAGCUCGUCCACGAGACGGAGACGGAGAAGCACGAGCUGCAGCAGCAGCUCGACGCGUUCAGAGUCAGGGUCCAGCUCCACGGCCACGAGGCCGCCGCCGCCUCCUUGGACGCGGACUGCUCUGCUCCUCCGGCCAACCGGCUCGGGCGCCGGCUGAGCCGCGACGGUGAUGGUGAACUGGUGGGCCUGGAAGACGAGGCGGGCUGGAGCGAGAACAAGAACUACCAGUCGCUGGUGGACUUCCUGCCGGGCUCGGUCUACUCCUCGUCGCCGGACCUGGCCAACCUGCUGAGGCUCUACACGGAAGGCAAUGGCAAUGGCGCUCGUCGGCCGAAAGAGGGUGAUAUCACUGAGGAGGAGGAAGAGGAGGUCGUCGUCGUCGCCGUCACGGCCGCAGCUGUUUCCGGUUUCGACGGAGUGGACGGUGAGGAGGCCACUAGCACUGCUGCUGCUGCUGCUGCAGCUGCUUCCGUUUUCGACGAAAGUGGUAGCGACCACGUCGGAGCAGAUCUUGCACAAGACGAAGCAGCAGUAAUGCGUGCAUGA